CCUACGGGUGGCUGCAGUGAGGAAUAUUGGUCAAUGGACGCAAGUCUGAACCAGCCAUGCCGCGUGCAGGACGACGGUUCUAUGAGUUGUAAACUGCUUUUGUCCGAGGACAAAAGCAGACUCGCGAAUCUGUCUGAAGGUACCGUACGAAUAAGCAUCGGCUAACUCCGUGCCAGCAGCCGCGGUAAUACGGAGGAUUCAAGCGUUAUCCGGAUUUAUUGGGUUUAAAGGGUGCGUAGGCGGUCGGUUAAGUUAGAGGUGAAAUCCCGGGGCUCAACUUCGGAAUUGCCGCUGAUACUGUUCGGCUAGAGAGUAGUUGCGGUAGGCGGAAUGUAUGGUGUAGCGGUGAAAUGCUUAGAGAUCAUACAGAACACCGAUUGCGAAGGCAGCUUACCAAGCUACUUCUGACGUUGAGGCACGAAAGCGUGGGUAGCAAAUGGGAUUAGAUACCCGUGUAGUC
This 460-nucleotide ribosomal RNA is filed under the name uncultured bacterium. RNAcentral's name for it is "partial 16S ribosomal RNA". It matches the Rfam family "Bacterial small subunit ribosomal RNA", at positions 338 to 795 of the family's 1533-position model. The record is from RNAcentral.